Pezoporus flaviventris is the source of this 2079-nucleotide long non-coding RNA. RefSeq lists it as uncharacterized. Lineage: Eukaryota; Metazoa; Chordata; Aves; Psittaciformes; Psittacidae. The record is from RefSeq and is a predicted model, not a curated record. The transcript has 3 exons.
GACUUCAUUAAGCCACCAUUUCAAAUAGAUAGUCCAAUAUUUUUUUCUUGAUCAGUAGUAGUAGAUAAAAUUACUAAACUUCUAUUUCUUUAACUGCAGCACCAAUGUCAAGCAUGCGAAUUUAAACACAGUAAUACAAAAGCCAGCAUACCACAGGUGAACAGUGUGUACUCCAGAAACAGAAAAAAAAAAGAAACUUAAAUCUCCAGGACAAAAGAGUUACACUUGCUUUGCAGAAAAAGUUAUAACCACCUUGUUAACAAUGACUUUGUGCAGUUCAUUUGGAAAUAUCUAAGAAUAAAAAGCAAUACUGACUAAAGCUAUGUAAAAAUCCUCAGCAAAAGCUGUUACCAACUUAAUCAUUCACAUAAAGUAACAAAUUUAUACCCUUUUACAAGUUGAAUUCCUGGGAGUUUUCUGUGGUUUAGAAGACCAUCCAGUAUGCUGUAACUUUGGACAUUGUGUGGUUUAUUUUUAUAGUUCUCAGUUAGUAAAUGCUGACUGUUGCAAAAUAAUACACUUAAGAUUUUAAAAUUGUUUUUUGAUGAGUACAAUAUUUGGAAAUUAUGCAAUGAAUGUCAAAGCACUUCAGGAACAUGGUAUUGUCUCUGUCUGAAUUGCUGCAAAGAUUCACAUUGACUCUACUGUCAGUAGGCCUGGACUUUUAACUUGGCCUAAAUUUAAGGAUAUUCCCAUAAACACGGAAGUCCAGACCUUGUAGUUUGGUUCAUAUGCGGAUAUCCUCGUGCUCACAGAGCUUUGAUUAUGUCAGCAAGGCUAGACAUCAGCACUGAUCUUGUGUGAUUGGAUUACUGGAUUGAAGCUGCGAUUUGUCCUACUGAAACCACUUCAAGUUACUUACACAGAUAAAUCCUACUAUCAGAUUUUUUUUUAUUAUUGAUUACACUUUCUGAAAUUAAAAAAGGAAACCCCAAAACCCCACAAAAACCUCGAUUGCUUUCUCCACCUUUUCAAUGGACUAGUACACUGUCUAGUUCUGCGUUACCAAGUUUACAUAGGACUGGAAGGACAACAACUCUGGCGAAAAAUAGUAAAAGUGUUAUUUUCCUUUUCCGUGAAACAUAUGUAAAAUACCUGUGAUUUUUUAUUUCCUGUGAAUCCAUUUCCAGGCCUUAUUUAAUGCCACCACCUCGUGGGAUCAGAGAUAUUUGACAGAGUUCCUAUUUAUAAAGGAAAAUCGGAUCCCAUUUAUGUUGCCUCUUCUCUCAAGCCAUAAUUCACAUCUUCUCAUGUUUCUGGCAAAAUGAUCUAUCAAAAUUAAACCAGAAUAUGUUCAAAGCACUUUUUUUCUUGGUUGGUCUCUCUUCUUUAUGUUGGGUUGAGAAAAGUCAUCUUGGGUAUGUCACUGUCUAUCACAGCUAGAAUAUCUGCUAGGAAGCAGAAGUGCAGUUCCGAGGCAGAUCGACUGCUGGAUUUAACAUCCUUCUAGGUUGCUGGCAUUGGCAAGAAAGUAGUUCAGCUAAACAAAAGGAAAUCAGAAGAUACAGUUACAAACUGUGAACCAAUGAUUAUGAACCAGUGAGAAAAUGUGAGGAAGAUCUCUGAAAAUGAUGUUUUGACAGUGACAACACAGACCAGACAGCUUUUAUUUUGACCAACAGACUGUUGGGAACAAAAACUGUAGAUCAGAGUGAAGGACUCCAGUCUGUACAGAUGUUCUCACUCAGAAAGCAGCUAGAGGGACCGGAAAAUAAAUGAAGGCUGUCCAACUUUGAAAAAGAAUUAUUCUGAGUUCCUUGAAGCUCCCCAUGUACUGCAGGCAUCAUGUCAAUUUAUAUAAAUACACAUAAAACAACUGAUAAACCAUCUGAAAGUGAUGACAACGUGAGUGAUUAAGACUAGAUCACAUCACUGUGAGAGUAGGGUGGCUGGAACAUCAUGGGCAGCCAAAGAGAUUAGAAACCAUUACUUCAGUAUGUACCCUGCAAAUUCCAGAAGCAAUGAGGAAUCUAAAGUGAGAAUCUACAGGAUCUACAGCAGAGAGAGCAUUGAUAGCACUUUCUUAACUGUGAAUGUCUAACCACAUGCUGAAACUUCACAGACCUUACUGGAUUACAU